This is a long non-coding RNA of Chroicocephalus ridibundus (black-headed gull), 1692 nucleotides long. RefSeq lists it as uncharacterized. The transcript has 7 exons. NCBI's taxonomy places the organism in Eukaryota, Metazoa, Chordata, Aves, Charadriiformes, Laridae. The record is from RefSeq and is a predicted model, not a curated record.
GAAUAAUAACAGAAACAUUUAUUUCCAGUUUACUCAACAGAAAAUGCCAAAGACAUAAUACUUUGAAGAAAUGAGGUCUUUGAAGAAAUGCGAUAUUACAUUGGAUGCAGCUUCAAGAAAUAUCUUACUAUGCGCGGCUCCUCCAGCGUCCCUCACAGAAGCAAGAGGCUGAGCUGCUUGGUCGUCCCAAACCACGCCACACUGGUAAAUCCCGAGGGAGCGCCGCGAUGGAGAAGUCCCUGCAGUUCCUUUUUAGAUCCCCACUUUCUAAUAACAGCAGAAAUUUUUCAGAGGACAUACUCCUGGUCUCCUUUCUCCAACCAAUGCAAGAAAAGUUCGCAAGAUGGGACUUAAAUGCGGAAUGAGCACUUAAGGAACGGCUCCAAUCUGCGUGCCACACCUCUGCCCUCUCUUGUAUACAACGGAAAGCCUGUCAAUGUUAUUGUAAAUCGUGAUGGCUCAGUCCAGAAAAACCAUAUUUUGCACCUCAUCUGGUCUAAAUAUUGAGUUUACGAGUGAAUGUUGCUUUGCAUUAUGUGUUAUAGAUGCUUUAUGUUUAUUUAAGAACUCAGUUUGCAGGAAUGUUUUCCAGACAUGCGGUUUACCGCAAUAGACAGUUGUUGAUAUUCUGAUCCCAAGAGCAUUAGAAUAUGUUUAGAAAUUGCGACACUUUUAAAACCAGAUGUUCUACAUAAGCUACACAAAAAAAAGGGGGUGGGGGAACAAAUAGAACUGUCAUUUGGCAUGAAAACAGCCUGUGUUAAAGCAAAGGCAAACACAUACCAAGUGAAAUAAACGUGGUGAACUGCCCUCAACCCUUUCCUCCUUUUGUAAGUAACUAUUUUAACAAAAGAUGGAAAAUCCCAGCUCCCAGAUGGCGCGGGAAGGGAGAAGGAAGGCUUUCAGGUCCAGAUUCGCAUCUGAGGGAAGCUGCUGGAUCUUGUUCCUGGGAUGGAUCAAACCAGAAUGACAGAGCCGGGCAACUUGAAGCAAGGAAAGAAUGUAACUCUGGAUUCAAAGCCCAGCGCAAAACUCGUUUUCUGUGCGUUUCUAAAGGACCUUAAAGGAAAGAGAAUAUUCCAACAAGAACCAAAGUAUCAGAGAACAAAAAUAGGAAGAAUUUUAUGGUAGAAUAUCAGCAAUUAGCUUCUUCAGCUCAUUAUUGGAUUUUAUAACUUGACUCUUCAAAACCAGCUAUGAGGAUUAGGUUGUGGCUUUAUACAGAGCUCCGGGUAAGGAGAGGCAAGAGGAGAAUCGCCAUGUGGGUCGCAACUUCUUCCCUGCACCAAGGGGAAGGGACCUGCAGCUCACCGGCGUCAGUUCCUCUGGAGAAGCAAGCCCAGUGACAGAGCUGGGACUCGUCCCUGCACGUGGGACGUUUGUUCGUCACGGCGGGACCUGGGGUCUCGUAGGACUUAGCUGUUGGCAUCUCUUUCGUGGUGGUUGAAGCACUCUGACUUAGAAGUGGGAGCAAACAGAAGGAGGAGAUUCAAUUCAAAUGGACUUGGAAGAUGGAGGCAAACAGAGAGAAAUGGAAGGAAGAGUCAACUUUUUAAACAGGAAAGAAAGAAGGCUAUAACCUGCAAACCCGCAAGCCUGAAGGACCACCUGAGUCCCUUACGCCUAAGGAAUGUGCAGUCCUCUGCAGCAGGACACCUUCCAAACACAUCUGGACAACGGGACACCUCUGCC